RNAcentral lists this ribosomal RNA (254 nucleotides) under uncultured bacterium. Its description in RNAcentral is "partial 16S ribosomal RNA". It matches the Rfam family "Bacterial small subunit ribosomal RNA", at positions 524 to 776 of the family's 1533-position model. The record is from RNAcentral.
UACGUAGGGUGCGAGCGUUGUCCGGAAUUAUUGGGCGUAAAGAGCUCGUAGGCGGUCUGUCGCGUCGAUCGUGAAAACUUGGGGCUUAACCUUGAGCUUGCGGUCGAUACGGGCAUGACUGGAGUUCGGCGGGGGAGACUGGAAUUCCUGGUGUAGCGGUGAAAUGCGCAGAUAUCAGGAGGAACACCGGUGGCGAAGGCGGGUCUCUGGGCCGUAACUGACGCUGAGGAGCGAAAGCGUGGGGAGCGAACAGG